GACGAACGCUGGCGGCGUGCCUAAUACAUGCAAGUUGAGCGCUGAAGGUUGGUACUUGUACCAACUGGAUGAGCAGCGAACGGGUGAGUAACGCGUGGGGAAUCUGCCUUUGAGCGGGGGACAACAUUUGGAGACGAAUGCUAAUACCGCAUAAAAACUUUAAACACAAGUUUAAGUUUGAAAGAUGCAAUUGCCUCACUCAAAGAUGAACCCGCGUUGUAUUAGCUAGUUGGGGAGGUAAAGGCUCACCAAGGCGAUGAUACAUAGCCGACCUGAGAGGGUGAUCGGCCACAUUGGGACUGAGACACGGCCCAAACUCCUACGGGAGGCAGCAGUAGGGAAUCUUCGGCAAUGGACGAAAGUCUGACCGAGCAACGCCGCGUGAGUGAAGAAGGUUUUCGGAUCGUAAAACUCUGUUGGUAGAGAAGAACGUUGGUGAGAGUGGAAAGCUCAUCAAGUGACGGUAACUACCCAGAAAGGGACGGCUAACUACGUG
This 496-nucleotide ribosomal RNA is filed under the name uncultured bacterium. Its description in RNAcentral is "partial 16S ribosomal RNA". It matches the Rfam family "Bacterial small subunit ribosomal RNA", at positions 28 to 507 of the family's 1533-position model. The record is from RNAcentral.